UAUGACGCACUUUCCCUAGUACGAAAGGACCGAGAAAGUGAGGCCAAUACCACAAGCACGCCUCCCACUCUAAAUAGUGAACCCAACUUAACUAUCAAGAGACCGCCACACCACCACGUACCAUCCAAGAAAAGGAUUA
This 139-nucleotide ribosomal RNA is filed under the name Anseranas semipalmata (magpie goose). RNAcentral describes it as "partial 16S ribosomal RNA". The record is from RNAcentral. Lineage: Eukaryota; Metazoa; Chordata; Aves; Anseriformes; Anseranatidae.